This 492-nucleotide ribosomal RNA is filed under the name uncultured bacterium. RNAcentral describes it as "partial 16S ribosomal RNA". It matches the Rfam family "Bacterial small subunit ribosomal RNA", at positions 29 to 507 of the family's 1533-position model. The record is from RNAcentral.
AGUGAACGCUGGCGGUAGGCCUAACACAUGCAAGUCGAACGGCAGCACAGUAAGAGCUUGCUCUUACGGGUGGCGAGUGGCGGACGGGUGAGGAAUACAUCGGAAUCUACUUUUUCGUGGGGGAUAACGUAGGGAAACUUACGCUAAUACCGCAUACGACCUACGGGUGAAAGCAGGGGAUCUUCGUACCUUGCGCGAUUGAAUGAGCCGAUGUCGGAUUAGCUAGUUGGCGGGGUAAAGGCCCACCAAGGCGACGAUCCGUAGCUGGUCUGAGAGGAUGAUCAGCCACACUGGAACUGAGACACGGUCCAGACUCCUACGGGAGGCAGCAGUGGGGAAUAUUGGACAAUGGGCGCAAGCCUGAUCCAGCCAUACCGCGUGGGUGAAGAAGGCCUUCGGGUUGUAAAGCCCUUUUGUUGGGAAAGAAAAGCAGCAGGUUAAUACCCCGCUGUUCUGGCGGUACCCAAAGAAUAAGCACCGGCUAACUUCGUG